RNAcentral lists this ribosomal RNA (893 nucleotides) under uncultured bacterium. RNAcentral's name for it is "bacterial SSU rRNA". It matches the Rfam family "Bacterial small subunit ribosomal RNA", at positions 50 to 927 of the family's 1533-position model. The record is from RNAcentral.
AAUACAUGCAAGUAGAACGCUGAAGGAGGAGCUUGCUUCUCUGGAUGAGUUGCGAACGGGUGAGUAACGCGUAGGUAACCUGCCUGGUAGCGGGGGAUAACUAUUGGAAACGAUAGCUAAUACCGCAUAAUAGUAGAUGUUGCAUGACAUUUGCUUAAAAGGUGCAAUUGCAUCACUACCAGAUGGACCUGCGUUGUAUUAGCUAGUUGGUGGGGUAACGGCUCACCAAGGCGACGAUACAUAGCCGACCUGAGAGGGUGAUCGGCCACACUGGGACUGAGACACGGCCCAGACUCCGACGGGAGGCAGCAGUAGGGAAUCUUCGGCAAUGGACGGAAGUCUGACCGAGCAACGCCGCGUGAGUGAAGAAGGUUUUCGGAUCGUAAAGCUCUGUUGUAAGAGAAGAACGAGUGUGAGAGUGGAAAGUUCACACUGUGACGGUAUCUUACCAGAAAGGGACGGCUAACUACGUGCCAGCAGCCGCGGUAAUACGUAGGUCCCGAGCGUUGUCCGGAUUUAUUGGGCGUAAAGCGAGCGCAGGCGGUUAGAUAAGUCUGAAGUUAAAGGCUGUGGCUUAACCAUAGUACGCUUUGGAAACUGUUUAACUUGAGUGCAAGAGGGGAGAGUGGAAUUCCAUGUGUAGCGGUGAAAUGCGUAGAUAUAUGGAGGAACACCGGUGGCGAAAGCGGCUCUCUGGCUUGUAACUGACGCUGAGGCUCGAAAGCGUGGGGAGCAAACAGGAUUAGAUACCCUGGUAGUCCACGCCGUAAACGAUGAGUGCUAGGUGUUAGACCCUUUCCGGGGUUUAGUGCCGCAGCUAACGCAUUAAGCACUCCGCCUGGGGAGUACGACCGCAAGGUUGAAACUCAAAGGAAUUGACGGGGGCCCGCACA